RNAcentral lists this ribosomal RNA (655 nucleotides) under Jamesozyma gamospora. RNAcentral's name for it is "LSU rRNA". It matches the Rfam family "Eukaryotic large subunit ribosomal RNA", at positions 38 to 709 of the family's 3401-position model. Lineage: Eukaryota; Fungi; Ascomycota; Saccharomycetes; Saccharomycetales; Saccharomycetaceae. The record is from RNAcentral.
GCAUAUCAAUAAGCGGAGGAAAAGAAACCAACCGGGAUUGCCUCAGUAACGGCGAGUGAAGCGGCAAAAGCUCAAAUUUGAAAUCUAGUACCUUCGGUGCUCGAGUUGUAAUUUGUAGAGGGUUCUUUGGGGCCGUCUCUUAUCUAUGUUCCUUGGAACAGGACGUCAUAGAGGGUGAGAAUCCCGUAUGAUGAGAGUCGCGGUUCUUUGUAAAGUUCCUUCGAAGAGUCGAGUUGUUUGGGAAUGCAGCUCUAAGUGGGUGGUAAAUUCCAUCUAAAGCUAAAUAUUGGCGAGAGACCGAUAGCGAACAAGUACAGUGAUGGAAAGAUGAAAAGAACUUUGAAAAGAGAGUGAAAAAGUACGUGAAAUUGUUGAAAGGGAAGGGCAUUUGAUCAGACAUGGUGUUUUGCGCCCUCCGUUCCUUGUGGAUGGGGGACUCUCGCAGCUCACUGGGCCAGCAUCAGUUUUGGCGGUAGGAUAAAUCCAUUGGAAUGUGGCUCGCUUCGGUGAGUGUUAUAGCCUUUGGGAAUACUGCCAGCCGGGACUGAGGACUGCGACAUUCGUCAAGGAUGCUGGCAUAAUGGUUAUAUGCCGCCCGUCUUGAAACACGGACCAAGGAGUCUAACGUCUAUGCGAGUGUUUGGGUGUAAAACCC